CCAGAAACUCCUCAUGAGAGUUCUUGAGUUUGAAGAGCUCAGUGCUGAGAGAUCUGGCCUCUUUCUGGGAGCUCUCCAGCUCAGUCUGAGACUCCUCAAACUUCUGCUUCCACUCAGCCAGGACCUGAAAAACAUACAGCUCCUCAGUCUUCUGGAUGGCAUCAGUUUCAUACUUGGUUCUCCACUGAGCCACCUCAGCAUUAGCCCCUCAACAGCAUUCUUGGCCUGUUGUCACUUGAGGUCUUCAAUCUGCUGAACGUUGGACUGCUUACCUCUGCUUUUGUCCUGUAUUCACUCAUCUGGUCCUCUAGAGUACGGCACAUUUUCUCCAGGUUAAGAUCUUCCUUCAUUCUCUCCUCCAUCUGCUGCUUGUCAUUCUCCAGGUCCAUUAGGCUCUCCUGGGUCAACUUUAAAUCUUCCUCCAGCUUUCUCUUGGCUCUCUCAAGGUUAUCCAGAGUUUGCUGAUGGGCCUCCAGCACAGCAGUGUCAUUACUCUUCCCUCCAAACUUUCCACCAAACCAAUUAAGUUGAGUUUUAACAUCACAAGGACAAAGAAAAGUGUUUACCUUGUUCUCUGUGGCAUGCUUUUCCUUCUCCACUUUACCCAGAGUGAGCUCCAGAUCAUCAAUGUCCUUCUUGAGUUCUGAGCACUCAUCUUCCAGCUUCCUCUUCUUAGAAGUUGACCAUAAAUAACUUGAAUGUGGGAUCCUCCAGAUUUACAAAACGUGCCAGUCAUGUGCCUCUGUAGGAAAAUGGCACAAAUUGACCACAGGGUGGCCCUGUAAUGACCAAUUGAUUUACAACUUCAGAACCAGCAUGUUAACCAAGAGUUACAACAUGUGGCAAGGUCUUUAAAAGCAUGUACAUAACACAUGGCCAAAAUGCUUUUAAUUACUUAUCAGUAACCAGAUUUGGAUAUAUUAUAUGGUAGUAGCCAGAUCUGAAUCUGCAACAUGGUGGCAUUAUACCAAGUACGCAUUUGUAUCCUUUUACUUGACCCAAGGGGUAUGAGGUCUUGGAUUUGUAAUUGUCACACUCUUAAAGAUCAAGAUAGCUGUCAGGUCAUCAUGUGUACAGUGUGGGGCAUGUACUGGUGACAUAGCUAGAAAGGGUGUUACCUCCUUCAAGACCUGUGCAUAUGACCCCUGUAUGUAUAGUGGAGCCCUUUUAACUCUUACAACUUCACACCUUUCACUUCGCUUCAUUUUUGAGGUCCUGUAGCUUCCCGAGCUGAACAUACCCUCGCCUGCCCUUCAAUUAAUUUCUAAGAGUCCCAUUCCUAGCUGUCACAUGUGUGUGUGUGCCUCAUUUCACACAGAACAUUAGGAUUCUGUGUGAAAGGUUCACUUACACUUGAAGGGGUUAGGGAGGUUAUAUGAGUUGUGCUUUAUGUACUUGAACACAUGGAUUCACCUUAACCUACUCCCCUGUCAUCCUUUGUCUCCACGGGCCAUCUCUACUGCUCCCACACGGGCUAAGACCAUCUCUUCCCUCACCAAGGCACGUGGGUUCCCUGACAGGGGGUGAAAGAAAGAUAUAGUCGGCAUACAGGAUUCUGUUGGGGAAGCCCUUUCUGCAGAUCCUGAUGCCUUCCAGCACACCGUUACAGCGCAGCUGGUGCAUGACCAGAGGAUUCUCCAUGGCCCCAGGAGUCUUGGUCUCGUUGGGGAU
Molecule: long non-coding RNA, 1671 nt
Organism: Oncorhynchus tshawytscha (Chinook salmon)
Lineage: Eukaryota; Metazoa; Chordata; Actinopteri; Salmoniformes; Salmonidae
Exons: 7
Source: RefSeq, a predicted model, not a curated record